CAGUCGCCGCGGUAAUACGUAGGGUGCAAGCGUUAAUCGGAAUUACUGGGCGUAAAGCGUGCGUAGGCGGUUUGUUAAGACAGAUGUGGAAUCCCCGGGCUCAACCUGGGAACUGCAUUUGUGACUGGCAAGCUAGAGUGUGGCAGAGGGGGGUGGAAUUCCGCGUGUAGCAGUGAAAUGCGUAGAUAUGCGGAGGAACACCGAUGGCGAAGGCAGCCCCCUGGGCCAACACUGACGCUCAUGCACGAAAGCGUGGGGAGCAAACAGGAUUAGAUACCCCUGUAGUCCCUGUCUCUUAUAC
This 301-nucleotide ribosomal RNA is filed under the name uncultured bacterium. RNAcentral describes it as "partial 16S ribosomal RNA". It matches the Rfam family "Bacterial small subunit ribosomal RNA", at positions 509 to 807 of the family's 1533-position model. The record is from RNAcentral.